RNAcentral lists this ribosomal RNA (467 nucleotides) under Nadinetella brincki. RNAcentral's name for it is "partial small subunit ribosomal RNA 16S RNA". It matches the Rfam family "Bacterial large subunit ribosomal RNA", at positions 1811 to 2562 of the family's 2925-position model. Lineage: Eukaryota; Metazoa; Arthropoda; Insecta; Ephemeroptera; Teloganodidae. The record is from RNAcentral.
AAACAUGGCCUUUGGAGAAAAUAAAAGGUCCAACCUGCCCACUGAAAAUUAAAGGGCCGCGGUAAUUUGACCGUGCAAAGGUAGCAUAAUCAUUAGUCUCUUAAUUGGGGGCUAGCAUGAACGGUUAGACGAAAUAAAAGCUGUCUCAAUAUAAUAAAUGAAUUUUACUUUUUAGUGAAAAGGCUAAAAUAUAAUUGGAGGACGAGAAGACCCUAUAGAUCUUGAUAAUAUAAAUUUUAUAAGUUUGGCAAACGUAAUAAUAAGAAUCUAUUUUAUUUGGUUGGGGUGACUACAAAAUAAAUAAACUUUUUUAAUUAAAACAAAGAUGUUUGAAUACGGGAUCCAUUGUAAUGAUUAUAAGAUUAAGUUACCUUAGGGAUAACAGCAUAAUCUUUCUGGAGAGUUCUAAUCGAUAGAAAGGAUUGUGACCUCGAUGUUGGAUUAGAAUGGGGUUUAGGUGCAGAAGC